GAGGACCGAACCGACUAAUGUUGAAAAAUUAGCGGAUGACCUGUGGCUGGGGGUGAAAGGCCAAUCAAACCGGGAGAUAGCUGGUUCUCCCCGAAAGCUAUUUAGGUAGCGCCUCGUGAAUUCAUCUCCGGGGGUAGAGCACUGUUUCGGCUAGGGGGCCAUCCCGGCUUACCAACCCGAUGCAAACUGCGAAUACCGGAGAAUGUUAUCACGGGAGACACACGGCGGGUGCUAACGUCCGUCGUGAAGAGGGAAACAACCCAGACCGCCAGCUAAGGUCCCAAAGUCAUGGUUAAGUGGGAAACGAUGUGGGAAGGCCCAGACAGCCAGGAUGUUGGCUUAGAAGCAGCCAUCAUUUAAAGAAAGCGUAAUAGCUCACUGGUCGAGUCGGCCUGCGCGGAAGAUGUAACGGGGCUAAACCAUGCACCGAAGCUGCGGCAGCGACACUGUGUGUUGUUGGGUAGGGGAGCGUUCUGUAAGCCUGCGAAGGUGGCCUGUGAGGGUUGCUGGAGGUAUCAGAAGUG
RNAcentral lists this ribosomal RNA (524 nucleotides) under Salmonella enterica subsp. enterica serovar Enteritidis. RNAcentral describes it as "partial 23S ribosomal RNA". It matches the Rfam family "Bacterial large subunit ribosomal RNA", at positions 769 to 1290 of the family's 2925-position model. The record is from RNAcentral. Lineage: Bacteria; Pseudomonadati; Pseudomonadota; Gammaproteobacteria; Enterobacterales; Enterobacteriaceae.